GAUUGAACGCUGGCGGCCUGCCUUACCCAUGCAAGUCGAACGGUAACAGGUCUUCGGAUGCUGACGAGUGGCGAACGGGUGAGUAAUACAUCGGAACGUGCCCGAUCGUGGGGGAUAACGAAGCGAAAGCUUUGCUAAUACCGCAUACGAUCUACGGAUGAAAGCGGGGGAUCUUCGGACCUCGCGCGGACGGAGCGGCCGAUGGCAGAUUAGGUAGUUGGUGGGAUAAAAGCUUACCAAGCCGACGAUCUGUAGCUGGUCUGAGAGGAUGAUCAGCCACACUGGGACUGAGACACGGCCCAGACUCCUACGGGAGGCAGCAGUGGGGAAUUUUGGACAAUGGGCGCAAGCCUGAUCCAGCCAUGCCGCGUGCAGGAUGAAGGCCUUCGGGUUGUAAACUGCUUUUGUACGGAACGAAAAGGUGCCUUCUAAUAAAGGGCGCUCAUGACGGUACCGUAAGAAUAAGCACCGGCUAACUACGUG
Molecule: ribosomal RNA, 483 nt
Filed under: uncultured bacterium
Lineage: Bacteria
Description: partial 16S ribosomal RNA
Rfam family: Bacterial small subunit ribosomal RNA
Source: RNAcentral